AAAUUCGUGACCGAAGCAUGAAGGUUCUUCCAGGUAUCAGUCCAUGCAUCCGGAUUCAGGGUAGAGGGGAAAGUGAAACUUUGCAGCGUUGAUUCCAUCAGAUUGUUGUAGAUGAGUUAUUGUUCUAUUAGAGAGGAGUGGGCUUGAUUCGGCAGGUUGACUGAUGCGAAGCUAUUUGAUGGGGAUGAAAUAACUCCAUGAGUAAUGGUGGACCGGUUGGUUAUUGAAGGAACUUUAUGGUCUACAGUAUACUAAGUCGAAACAGUGAACAGUGGGUUGGUGGAAGAGCCGCUUGCAAGUUUCAUUCCCUUCUGGUAGUGAUUGCAGUUGUGACGAUUAUGACCACCGUGAUCAUCCUGUUUGCCUGAUUGGUUCUUCCAGUCGUAACAAUUGUAUAAUCGAGAAUAAGACCAGGAACUUGAAUAUAAAAAGCUGAUGAGUUCAGGCUUAUCUUCUGCCAGGUUGAACCUGCUGGCCAAUCUUUAAGGAUCAGAAGCAUCUUCAUCUGGGAUGAGAUUAAGAUCCCUCCAAGAAAGUGAUUCAGUUUACUAUAUCAGAAUUCUUGAGCAUCGCUUGUUCAGUUCAGUAAUUUCAGAAAUGCAGCAUUGUCUUCUACCUUGAGAUGUUUCCGAUCAUAAUUUCAACAAUGAUGGCAAUUAUGACACAACUCACUAGAGAUGAGAGCAUAACAUCACAAAUACCAAAGAUCACCAAUUAUAAAAUCUAAGAAAGAUGAGCCUCCAAGGGUUAAUAUUCUUUUCAAGCACAUUCAGGGGAUGCUUAAUGGAGACACUGCAGUAAUAGCUGAGAAUGGAGACUCGUGAUUCAAUUGCCAGGAGCUCCGCCUCCCUGAGAACUAUGGCUACGAAUUUCAGAUGCAGUAUGGAUCUAUUGGCUGGUCAGUCGGUGCCGCUCUUGGAUAUGCUCAGGCUGCCAAAUAAGCGUGCGAUUGCUUGUAUUGGCGAUGGAACUUUCCAGGUUAGGGACAAGUUUCACACAAACCUUCUAACACAUUUGUGCUGGUCGGAAGUAGGGAUAGGAAAGGAAUGGGUGGGCCAGGUACCUCUUCCUGUAUAUCCUGUCUCUGCAGUAUCCAUCAAGCAAAACUUUCAAACUUUUUCUUGUACCUGCUUUGGGGAUUUAUGGGGAUCAUCGUCCUAGCCCUGUGUCAAAUCUUGCUCUGGGAUUUCUAUGUUUUGAGAUACAGAGCUUGGAAAUCAAAAGAGUUUUUCAUUUUAUUCAGGUUACAGCGCAAGACAUUUCAACAAUGAUUCGAUGUGGACAAAGGACCAUUAUAUUCCUAAUCAAUAAUGAAGGUUAUACAAUUGAAGUAGA
Carya illinoinensis is the source of this 1335-nucleotide long non-coding RNA. RefSeq lists it as uncharacterized. The record is from RefSeq and is a predicted model, not a curated record. Lineage: Eukaryota; Viridiplantae; Streptophyta; Magnoliopsida; Fagales; Juglandaceae. The transcript has 6 exons.